AGGACGAACGCUGGCGGCGUGCCUAACACAUGCAAGUCGAACGGAGUCAGAAAGCUUGCUUUUGACUUAGUGGCGGACGGGUGAGUAACGCGUGAGUAACCUGCCUCUGAGAGGGGAAUAACGUUCUGAAAAGAACGCUAAUACCACAUAACGUAUCGAAGCCGCAUGACUUUGAUACCAAAGAUUUUAUCGCUCGGAGAUGGGCUCGCGUCCGAUUAGUUAGUUGGUGAGGUAACGGCUCACCAAGACCGCGAUCGGUAGCCGGACUGAGAGGUUGAUCGGCCACAUUGGGACUGAGACACGGCCCAGACUCCUACGGGAGGCAGCAGUGGGGAAUAUUGGGCAAUGGGCGCAAGCCUGACCCAGCAAUGCCGCGUGAAGGAAGACGGUUUUCGGAUUGUAAACUUCUUUUAACAGGGACGAUAAUGACGGUACCUGUUGAAUAAGCUCCGGCUAACUACGUGCCAGCAGCAGC
RNAcentral lists this ribosomal RNA (475 nucleotides) under uncultured bacterium. RNAcentral describes it as "bacterial SSU rRNA". It matches the Rfam family "Bacterial small subunit ribosomal RNA", at positions 26 to 518 of the family's 1533-position model. The record is from RNAcentral.